CAGCCGCCACGGUAAUACGUAGGUGGCAAGCGUUGUCCGGAAUUAUUGGGCGUAAGGGGCUCGCAGGCGGUUUCUUAAGUCUGAUGUGAAAGCCCCCGGCUCAACCGGGGAGGGUCAUUGGAAACUGGGAAACUUGAGUGCAGAAGAGGAGAGUGGAAUUCCACGUGUAGCGGUGAAAUGCGUAGAGAUGUGGAGGAACACCAGUGGCGAAGGCGACUCUCUGGUCUGUAACUGACGCUGAGGAGCGAAAGCGUGGGGAGCGAACAGGAUUAGAUACCCCUGUAGUCCCUGUCUCUUAUAC
Molecule: ribosomal RNA, 301 nt
Filed under: uncultured bacterium
Lineage: Bacteria
Description: partial 16S ribosomal RNA
Rfam family: Bacterial small subunit ribosomal RNA
Source: RNAcentral